GACGAACGCUGGCGGCGUGCCUAAUACAUGCCAGUUGAGCGCUGAAGGUUGGUACUUGUACCAACUGGAUGAGCAGCGAACGGGUGAGUAACGCGUGGGGAAUCUGCCUUUGAGCGGGGGACAACAUUUGGAAACGAAUGCUAAUACCGCAUAAAAACUUUAAACACAAGUUUUAAGUUUGAAAGAUGCAAUUGCAUCACUCAAAGAUGAUCCCGCGUUGUAUUAGCUAGUUGGUGAGGUAAAGGCUCACCAAGGCGAUGAUACAUAGCCGACCUGAGAGGGUGAUCGGCCACAUUGGGACUGAGACACGGCCCAAACUCCUACGGGAGGCAGCAGUAGGGAACCUUCGGCAAUGGACGAAAGUCUGACCGAGCAACGCCGCGUGAGUGAAGAAGGUUUUCGGAUCGUAAAACUCUGUUGGUAGAGAAGAACGUUGGUGAGAGUGGAAAGCUCAUCAAGUGACGGUAACUACCCAGAAAGGGACGGCUAACUACGUG
Molecule: ribosomal RNA, 497 nt
Filed under: uncultured bacterium
Lineage: Bacteria
Description: partial 16S ribosomal RNA
Rfam family: Bacterial small subunit ribosomal RNA
Source: RNAcentral